GCUUAGGACAACGAGUGAUCGAUUCUACUUCCUUUGUUGUUGUUGCUUCAUACGGCGAAGCAGGGGAUCUGGAUCAGGGGUCGUAAUGGUUCUUGUGACGACAUGUCUAGCGCUUGCGCUCCCUGCACUCUUGCUUCUACUUGCAAGAUAAGUUCAAGACAAGUCUGACCUAAUAACUACUAUCGCCUUCUACCCAAUGUCGAGCCUUCAACGGGGACAUCGGAGGGGACACCAUCGCACGAAAGCCCAGGCAAAAGUUGAGCCCGCCAUGAACGCCGAUGAGAUUCUCGACCAAGGUUCACCUGGCUUUGCGUCCUCCAAUAACAAGAUGCAUGCACCUAUCAAGGUUAGCUGGAAGUUAUCAACUUACUUUGUAAAAGGCUUCGGAUUUUUAAAUUUUGUAGGAACCCCUUUUGAACAGAACUUUUUAGAUAGUCACUUCCAAGACCAAAAGAAAACAUGUUGACAGAUGAACCCGCUUGUGUAGAAUGCUUUGAGGAUAUUCAUACAAAAUCGUUUGUUAGUGUGCUUGCUUGACUGGGUUAAUAAAAAGAAGCAUGCAACAGUAAAGGAAAGAAGCUAUUGCCCAUGUACAGAUCAAGUGAUUUUAGUCUGUCUUUCUGGAGAAGCCUAAACUGAAAAUAACUAGCUUUAAGUACUUUUCAUUCAUAUGCAUUCCCUACUCAGGGAAUAAAUGUCUUGCGUAUGUGUGUGUACUGAAAUUGUAACUCACUAUAGUAAUUCGUAAUUUGUUCCAUUUUUGUUCAUCUAAUGAUUUUCUUGUUAUUUCCUUUUGAAUGCUUAGCCAUGAUGUGUCUCACUCGUGUGGAACUCAAGAUUUGAUAGUAGCACAUAACUCAUGAUUUGACAAACAGUUAAAUUCCUAUAUUUUAGUAUAUCUUGUUAUCUUUCUUAUUUCUGUUCCUGAACUAAACUUCGCCCUUUUCUACAAAAUUAUAAGAGAAAUGGUGGUUUGGACAAAUGAUUAUGGUUGCUUAUUUAUUUUCUUGGUGUUAGAUUACUAAUGUAGAGAAAUAUAAUUAUAUGAUUUUACCAUUAUUAUCAUAUGAGGAAGUGAUAAGUUCAGAAAAUGACAAUAGUUUAAAAGAAGUAUUAUGGUGUAGUGCAGUAAUAAUUUUAAUUUAAAAUUGCAGACCUUGCAUCAUAUUUUUGUUGUGUAUGUGGGCAGUGUGUUCAAGUUGAUCUGGAACAAUUUGAAGUGUUUCCUCGACACAAAAUCUUUAGCCAAGGUUUUCUUAAGCACCUGUAUAGAAGUUUAAAAUUGUAAUUGUUUCAGGUUCUUCGCCACAUUAUGUAUGCUUUGUUAUUUUUUUUAAUAAUUGGACCUAUUUGCUAUGUGGAACAUGUAGCAUUUACUUGAUCAUAAUAUAAUUCAAUAUUUGACCACGGUCUUUUGGCUCUUGCUUUCAACAUAUGCAGUAUCGGUUAGUCAUUUUCUUGACACAACACUUUAGGCAACGGCUCAGACUUCUUGAGCCAUUCUCUGUUUAUUGUCGAUACAUCUUUCAAAAUAAACGAACAAUGUUUCCUCCAUGUAUGAAUGACACAAUGACUUUGAAUUUUUUUCCAGUCAAUUGAUCAUCCUAAGCCUCAUCCUGUAUUCAAUACAUUUAUGUUCCAUUGCUAACUAACGUUCGUUUGUGAUGUCUUUCUUGGGAUGGAAAUGUUCCUCGGAACCAUGACGAACAUCAAAGGAGGAACAACCUUUUUCUUUUAUUUUCUGUUGCCUCUACUAUAUUGUUGCUGCCACAAAGAUUUACCUGGACAUGGAGCCAUCAUGAUGUGUUUAAAAAUGAUUACAUUAUCCUUUUCUAACCUGAUGGUGUUAGAAACAUCUUAGCAUUCGAGCAGGUUUAAUUCAUUGUUUAUUAAUUCCUAUUAUGUAAAAAAAUCAUUGAUCAUUGCUUGACAUAAUUUUUUUUAUAUGCAAUCAUGUGCAUGGGCGAAGAACCUGGAUGUUAUUUACAAGUUUUGG
Molecule: long non-coding RNA, 1996 nt
Organism: Triticum aestivum (bread wheat)
Lineage: Eukaryota; Viridiplantae; Streptophyta; Magnoliopsida; Poales; Poaceae
Exons: 3
Source: RefSeq, a predicted model, not a curated record